Small nuclear RNA from Callithrix jacchus (white-tufted-ear marmoset), 141 nucleotides. Its record names the gene U4. It matches the Rfam family "U4 spliceosomal RNA". Rfam says of the family: U4 small nuclear RNA (U4 snRNA) is a component of the major U2-dependent spliceosome. The structure of U4 snRNA from yeast and human has been reported. Lineage: Eukaryota; Metazoa; Chordata; Mammalia; Primates; Cebidae. The record is from Ensembl.
AGCUUUGCAUAGUGGCAGUAUCGUAGCCAAUGAGGUUUAGCCGAGGCACGAUUAUUGCUAACUGAAAACUUUUCCCAAUACCCCACUAUGAUGACUUGAAAUAUAGUCGGCAUUGGCAAUUUUUGGCAGUCUCUACGGAGA